UAGUCUUUAUAUUUACAUAGAAAAAACUGAAAGUAGGAUCUCUGUUCCUAAACUGGAAGACUGGGUGAGAGGGGGAGAGAGAAAGCAAGGCUACCAGCCAUCUUACACAGUGCAAGGAAUGGUCCCCAAUCCAUCUUGAUAAACUAGUGUUUCAGAAUGCUAUUCAGAAGACAGCACAGCAGAAGGCUACGAAGCUGGUCUGCUGCAUUUGUGGCACACUUCCUGGAAGAGUGACAGACGUGUCAUCCUUCUGUUUUGUUUUGUGUUUUUGUUGAGUCACAUUGGAGACCUUCCAGACUCCUUAACAAAUAAGACGAGGCUCAUAAAUUACCUUUACCAGCAAGAAUAAAACAGCCCCCUGCACACCUGCCUACCAGGCUUGUCCAACUUGAACACUGGUGAGGUCAGUCUGCUAGAGCUGCGUUAUCAGAUGAAAGAUAAACUUCCUACAGAAUCCAGACCAGAAGAAUUCUAUGCCAUUGAGCAAGUAAUACACAGUUGAAGAUAAUCUGCUGUCUGAAAUGAGAUUCAGGAAUGUUAAAGCCGAAUGAACAAAUCAGCACUCAACCUCCUACCUGAACUAAGGAGGAUGAAUUUCCUGAGCUGCUCAUGACAUUGACGUGACUGCCUGAAAGCUCUCAUACUGAAAGGGUGAACAAAUUCUAAGUGUGAUUAGCUUAUUUCAUUCACAGGAAUCAGUGUCAAACUUGUGAAAUUAAAUUAUCGACAGCAAUACUUUAUAGAAAGGUCUCAUCAUUUAUGUUCUUCAAAAGCUGGGAUGGAAUGGAUUUAAAAUGCUGUAAACUAGUGGAUUACAUACAAAGCUGGAGCCAGUAGAGGAGCUGGGUUUUCAGGCAUGGACCCUACAGUGAAAUCCAAAGCACAGAUGCUGCUAUCUGAACUCUGCAUUGUACACAGGGACACACAGAUGUCCUGAAAUGGUGGGUCAAUAGUAAAGACGGGAGGGUCAGCACAUGUGACUCUACUCGGACAAAGACUGCCUUGAUGCAAGCAAGUAUCCCAAGUCUGUCAACUUCACCUGGACUCUUCUUCAGUGCUCUGCCUCAAGCCUGUGUGUGAAAAAAAGUAACGGUUAUUCGACAGGGCAAGAUCAGGCUUCUAAUUACAAGAUUGGAAGCUACAAAAGAUUGAAAUGCUGUGGUAACACCAGCCUCAUUUGGGUCUAACAGCUAGAUUGAGACAUAUCCCAGACAUUACUCCAGAGAUCUGACCUGUGUGACAAGCUUUUGACUUCUACAGGCUUCACACAGAGCCAAACAUAAUGCCA
Molecule: long non-coding RNA, 1288 nt
Organism: Dromaius novaehollandiae (emu)
Lineage: Eukaryota; Metazoa; Chordata; Aves; Casuariiformes; Dromaiidae
Exons: 6
Source: RefSeq, a predicted model, not a curated record